GUUCACUAAAUCUCUGGGUGACUGCUUAUUAAUUUGAUUAGAUAGGAACUAGAACAGUUUUUUUAAAAGCUAUUAAAAUAGUAUUAGCUGACCAACGGACUGCCAGCUGUCGCGGUUAGAGUCCUAGCAUUUAAAGCUAAACCCUAAACUCUCUGACUGUGCAACUGUGAAACGUGACACAAAUUAUUAAUGAUUAGCGAAUUAUCAACCCGGAUUAGAUACCCGGUUAGCCGACCCCACAACUGGAAUACAACAGAAAGUAAUUCUUGCCAGCUCUCUAGCACAGAGGAGUCUGAAAGUUAAAUGAUAAUCCUCAUUAUAAACCUCUUUUAAAGGAUUUUAAAUCGCUGUCUCUUAAGAGAUUACUCCUAACCAGUCAAGUGAGAUAAAUCUUAUAAAGAGGAUUAGUUUGGGCUACAUACUCAGAGUAAACAGAAACGGAGGAUUUGUAAGUAUUAUUUUUUUUUAAAAUAAUAUUAAUAUUAAAGGAGAGGGGACAAAUUGCUCGGUGAUCCUGAGAGGGAUAAGCCGCAACAAGGUAAGAGUACUGGAAGGUGUUCUUUUAUUUACGGUGAACGACAAUCACGUAUGCCAAACACCCCUUCU
RNAcentral lists this ribosomal RNA (606 nucleotides) under Paralongidorus litoralis. RNAcentral's name for it is "12S ribosomal RNA". The record is from RNAcentral. Lineage: Eukaryota; Metazoa; Nematoda; Enoplea; Dorylaimida; Longidoridae.